RNAcentral lists this unclassified non-coding RNA (315 nucleotides) under plant metagenome. RNAcentral describes it as "partial contains 5.8S ribosomal RNA, internal transcribed spacer 2, and large subunit ribosomal RNA". The stretch from base 1 to 106 matches the Rfam family "5.8S ribosomal RNA", at positions 49 to 154 of the family's 154-position model. The record is from RNAcentral.
CGAAAUGCGAUAAUUAAUGUGAAUUGCAGAAUUCAGUGAAUCAUCGAGUCUUUGAACGCACAUUGCGCCCCCUGGUAUUCCGGGGGGCAUGCCUGUCCGAGCGUCAUUGCUGCCCUCAAGCACGGCUUGUGUGUUGGGCUUCCGUCCCUGGCAACGGGGACGGGCCCAAAAGGCAGUGGCGGCACCAUGUCUGGUCCUCGAGCGUAUGGGGCUUUGUCACCCGCUCCCGUAGGUCCAGCUGGCAGCUAGCCUCGCAACCAAUCUUUUUAACCAGGUUGACCUUGGAUCAGGUAGGGAUACCCGCUGAACUUAAGC